This 1563-nucleotide long non-coding RNA is filed under the name Haliotis rufescens (red abalone). Its description in RNAcentral is "uncharacterized LOC124137244". Lineage: Eukaryota; Metazoa; Mollusca; Gastropoda; Lepetellida; Haliotidae. The record is from RNAcentral.
CAUUUCAGGCUGUCAGCAUAAACCACGAAAUUUACAAUCUUUCAACUCUGUUUUUUUUUCACCAAAAUAAUAUUCUAAUAAGAGCCCCCUAUUUCGAAUUUUGAGAGCGCCCUGGGCGCUUGUUACGUCAAAUAAGGUAAUUGUUUAUGAUAACAGAAUUGGUAAUUCAUGGACAAAAGACACCUAGGGAAGUAUGAUAGAAAAUCAGUGGCAGCAAACUGUGAAAUAGGUAAUGUUUAGUGGGCAUGUCCCCAUUUUAAACCAUGAAUUGUGGUCUUUUCUGAUGGAAACAUGGCAGCAUACAGUAGUCAGGCUCAUGGUGUCUUACUCUUCCGGUGUUGGUGGUGAUGAUGCUCAGCUGAACAUAUGGCUGAACAUAUAUGCAAGUGGGCCCUGGUCGCUAAUGUAAGGCUUACGUUUAAUUCCAUGCCGGGAUAACCUGCCAUUUCCCUUGCCACAGUCCCCAUCACCCGCUGCUGCUGCUGCUGCUGCUGCUGCUUGUGCAUCAAGUCCAUCGAUGAGGUUGUUACAAAACUCAUGUUGAACACUCGAACACUCUCAGGACUGAAAGGGGGCACGGGUGGCCCAGUCGUCUAAGGCGCCGCAAUUCGCUUUGCAGAGUUGCGUCCCUUGGGCACGCCAGAAACCUAUGAUUGUGUGGUUCGAAUCCCGGUUCGCCCCGAUUAUGUUUCUAGGUUUGUCAGCACCAUACCCGUGCUUGUGGGUUUCACCGAAGUGGUAAGCGUCUGAGACCUGCAUCACUUCGGGCUUUCCUCCCACAUUAAGCUGACACACCGCGAUAUAACUGGAAUACUGUUAAAAGCGGCAUUAAACCCAACUCACUCACUCACUCACUCACACUCUCAGGACUGAAACUGUCACUUUACGUUUUCAUCACCAGACCAUGAAGGUUAGUUUAGUGUGAGCUUCAUGAGACUAAGUACAUUCAGAGUUGUGUUUAUUUGUUGGUAUUUUGACACACCGGAAUAGUUUUAAAAGUAGAAGAAAUGAAACGUAAUACAUUAAGCUCAUGGGCAUUUGUACAUCCGGAUGUAUGGGUUUAAAAUGUGUCUAAUUUACUUUUCUUGUUUUUCUUAAGUGUCACCUGUGUUUUUUUUUUCGAAAUUUUAGGAGGUAAUAUUUGUGUGAAUGUCGAUGUCUGAGGUAUGUAUAUUUUGAUCCUGAGGUCAUAGCUCUCCAUUAUUGGUACAUGUUAUCAGUGUAAAGUAUAUUCACACAAUAUUUAUAAACUUUGAAAUUUCUUCAUUUGGUUUCAUAAGGAAUAGUUUAUGAACCAUUUCAUUGAAUUAAUUUCAGUUAACUGCACAUUUCAGAGAGGGAGAAUUUGUAACCUAAACAGAACAUUUGAUUUCAAAGUGUUUCCUAUUGUAUAAAUACAUAACAGAAUUUUGGUUGAGAGAAGGAUGAGGGCUUGUCAUUGGCUUCAGCUCCAGGGAAUGACCGCCAUUGACCUGCUCCAGUGUCAACACAUUACUCAGAUGUCUUUUUGUACACUUGUAUAAUUCCUUCAUUCUUAUGAAAAUAAAAUAUUUUUAUACAACA